This 448-nucleotide ribosomal RNA is filed under the name uncultured bacterium. RNAcentral describes it as "bacterial SSU rRNA". It matches the Rfam family "Bacterial small subunit ribosomal RNA", at positions 329 to 793 of the family's 1533-position model. The record is from RNAcentral.
UACCAGACUCCUACGGGAGGCAGCAGUGGGGGAUAUUGCACAAUGGGGGGAACCCUGAUGCAGCGACGCCGCGUGGGUGAAGAAGUAUUUCGGUAUGUAAAGCCCUAUCGGCAGGGAAGAAAUUGGACGGUACCUGACUAAGAAGCCCUGACUAACUACGUGCCAGCAGCCGCGGUAAUACGUAGGGGGCGAGCGUUAUCCGGAAUUACUGGGUGUAAAGGGAGCGUAGACGGCGAGGUAAGCCUGAAGUGGAAGCCCGCGGCCCAACCGCGGAACUGCUUUGGGAACUGUUUUGCUGGAGUAUGGGAGGGGUAAGCGGAAUUCCUGGUGUAGCGGUGAAAUGCGUAGAUAUUAGGAGGAACGCCGGCGGCGAAGGCGGCCUGCUGGACCGUAACUGACGUUGAGGCUCGAAAGCGUGGGGAGCAAACAGGAUUAGAUACCCCCGUAA